CAACUUUCUGUCAUGUGAAGAGAAAAUUAAGUAAGUUUAUGCAAUAAAAGCUCUUUAUUCAGAAAGUCAGCUCUGCUAGAAAAAGCCACCACCUGCUCAGGUUCCAACUCUUCCAUAUUUUUGAUGAUUCCCUCAGCUGCUUUCAGUUCACAUGAAGUUUCCUUUGAAGGUACCGUACAGAUCCAUCCCUUGGACCCCAUAAGCUGUUGUCUGCUGCAAAAAAGAGCUCUGCUGGAGAAAUGGAAUUUUAAGUACUGAAAAUACAUAGGAUACUCCUAAAAUACACAGUGCCAUGCUGUUCAGCUUAAGCUGAAAUAUGCACCUAUGACGAGGGUAUGGAAGGGAUUCAAGUGGUUUUAACCCCCUUCCAGAUAGUGCAGGGCUGCUAUGGGAGUGGGAAAGGCCCUGGAUGUGACUUAAAAAUAACCUCACGUGUGACAGAGCUGAGUGCUGCAGGGCUCUCAUCAGAUGGCUGCACUCCCAACAUGACCACUGGGGCUCUUUACAGCCCCCUUCAUAGCUUCUCUAAAUGGAAACUACUUGUUUCUUUUUGCCAGUUCAUCCCUUAUCUUUGGCACAAUAAACCACAAGAAGGUUUUUCUCUGA
This is a long non-coding RNA of Melospiza melodia melodia, 606 nucleotides long. RefSeq lists it as uncharacterized. The transcript is spliced from 3 exons. NCBI's taxonomy places the organism in Eukaryota, Metazoa, Chordata, Aves, Passeriformes, Passerellidae. The record is from RefSeq and is a predicted model, not a curated record.